This 9945-nucleotide long non-coding RNA is filed under the name Salvia miltiorrhiza (redroot sage). RNAcentral's name for it is "long non-coding RNA (SMIL_LNC007750)". Lineage: Eukaryota; Viridiplantae; Streptophyta; Magnoliopsida; Lamiales; Lamiaceae. The record is from RNAcentral.
AAAGAAUUCAUUCCCAAAUUAUUUCUCAUCUUCUAUAUUAGUACGAAGCAAUUACAUCAUUAUUCCAACCAACAACAGAGAGCAUCAUAUCAUAUAGGAAACUACACAUUCUUUACAACAAUAUGUUAUAGCUAUAUCCAAUUUCUCAUAUCAAUAUGUUAUAGCUAUGGUAUCAAUAUAUUAUAGCUAUAUCCAAUUUCAUAACAAUAUACACUUUUAUAAAAACAAUAGAUUUCGAAUCAAACUCUUUUCCAGACGAAAAUUGAGCAGAAUCAAAUUUAUGUUUAAAUUGAAGCAAAGUAGAUGUACAUUGUAUGUUGGCAUAGAUUAAAAGUAGCAAAAGCCAUUUGAAAAAUUGGCCAUAAAACACUAGUCAUCUUCUUCCAAUCAGCUAACCCAGGAUCCAAAUCAGCGCUCGUCGCCGCGAAAUCUCACAGCCGUCGGUCGGUCGAGCAUUAGGUAUCCGACGAUGGCUUCACUUUCUCCUUGAGGAACUGCAGAAUGUGCUCUCGUUUCCAGUUAUCAACUCUGCAUUUUACACAGACAAAGUUCCUCGUCUGAAUAGACAUACCUUGCUUGUCGCAUCGUCUGAAUCCUCAGCGCAACACUUCAGACAACACCUCUGCAGUGAAUCAAAACCGUAAACCAUCACUGUAACAUGGAUAAAAUUCUCAAAUCGAUAAUUUUCUCAAACUGCAUAUAAUUUGUCGUGGUUUCAAAACGCAGUCUCUCCAACAUUGUCGCGUCUGUAUGUAAAAUCUACAGAUACGGAAAAAAUUCUAUAUGGAUCUUAUCAACCUCUCCAUGCAUUUGCACAUUUCAAUAAAAGUUUCUUGAUUUCGAAAUUGCCAAUGAUUUGCCACACAAAAAGAAGAAAAAGAAAAAAGGUCUCUUCCCAAGAGAGUUAUCACAAAUCUGUUACUAUGUAAACACAAGGUUCUAUGAAAUUCGGUCAAUAAGCUUAUUCUCGUUAAGUAUUCAAAAACUCUCUCUCAGCCUCGUUUUCCUAAAAAGAAUCCAUAGAUACGGAGAUAAGCCUACACCAAUUGUUUGGUCUGACACUUUUUAACUUCAAAAGAUGGACGGCACUCCAUGACAUGUUGCAAGAUUCUAACGACUAAGGUUUCGAACCUCCAACACUUGCUUUCUAGAAUGAAGAUUAUAUACUAUCUCAUUAUUUUUCUUCAUCAUUAUUAUUCAUUCGAAUCUACUUUCACUUCUUCGUCUCGUCCUCAUCCUUAUAAAGUAUUCAAUUUGUCAUUUUUGUCUAUUUUUAUAAAACUAAUUUAAAUUUUUUUUUGGGAAGUUUUCCACUCAUAAUAAAAUCAGAUCUUAUGAGACUAUUACUUUAUUCACAACAUAUUUAGUUAUUUUAUUAAAAUUCAUACACAAUUGUCAUUUUGGGCGUCUGCAAAAAGUAUGUCACUUUUCUUUUUAAGACAUGGUCUCACAUCUUGUACUUAUAAUUCAUCUUUACAAAUACCCUUUACUUACAAAAAAAAAAAUUCAACUCUUAUUCAAUUUCAACCACUGGUUUCAGAUAACGGUAGAACCCUUUCUCCACUACAUAAAAAUCAAUAACCGUUUCAUUAAAUCCCGUACACAACCAAAAUUACAUACUCUUGACAAACGGAGGAACACUUUUUAUAAGGACAGAUGGGACGUAGCCAGACUUUUCAGUCAGGGGGGGCCAAAUACUCUCUUAGUUCCAACUAACUUCGUAAAUAUUUUUUCUUUUUACCGUCUCAAUUAAGAUGAUCAAUUUUCUUAUAUGGAAUAAAUAUAUAUAAGCAAAAAAAAAAUUAAUCACUUAUUUCACUUUAUUACCAAAGACACUUAAAAUACUAAGUUCUUAAAUUUUCUGUCGAAAAUAAGUUGAUCAACUUAGCUGAGACGAAGAAAGUAAUAAUCAUAAUAUUAUAAAAGACUCCGAAUAUUAGCAAUUUCAAUAAAAUCAUAAUGCUACAUUAGUUGCACCAUAAUAUUACAAAAAUAAAAAUAAAUAUUCUACCAUCAUAAAAUUUCUCUUCUAUUUAAUUUUCAUGUUUUGAAAUCGCUACAUAAUCGUUUCAUUAGUACAUAUUUACAAAUUCAUCAUUUCUGAUGUAAGAUAUUAGACAAUCAUUCGAUAACGUAUCUCAUAUACGAUUGAGUAGAGAGAAAUUGGAAUUAUUACUAAAAAUAAUACUAAUAUUUAUGUAUUUAUUUAAUAUUAAAUAUAAAAUUAUGAAAAUACCCCUAAUAUUUUUAAAAUUUUCAAUGGGGCCCAGUGGGGGCACUGCCCCCCCUCGGCUACGUCACUGGGAGGGAUUAUAUUAAUACUACCCUUUCCUUUCCUGACAAGGGAUCAAAAGGACAAGUCAUCGUUGAAAGAAAACAACAGGAUAGAACAAAGCAAGAACGAAGAAACUCUUCGAAAGCUCUUCUACAAAUCCCCCACCAAAACGCUCAUCAGCUAACUGGUCAAAGUCAAAGUAUUAGAAAACGCGUGUGCGAAGGCAUAUAAUUAUUGACUUUUCGUCUCCGGAGUGGUUCAGAAAUAAUGAGGGUGAAUUACUGUGUGAGCCAGCAGCUCAACACACAAUAAAAUAAGUAGUGAAAGCGAGUUGAAUAUUUGAUAAAUUCAAAGUUUGAAAUAUAAAAAAUGAAAAAGGAAAACCAUAUCUUGCAUCACUCAUCCAAUUCUGCUCCUUAAUCCUCUCUCUCACUGAAUUUCUCUGUUUCUCUCUCUAAGUUAUCAGCUACCACAAAGCAAGGAAGCAGCAGUCCUUAAAGCGCAGUAGGGAAGGUGAAGUUGAAUUUCGAUUCUGCUUGUUGAUUGUGUGCAGUGAAAUUUGAGAUUUUUUUCUUCUUCUGUUUUUUGGUGUUUCCUUUUGUACUAAUUAUCAUGUUUGCCUAUGGAAAUCAAUCAUUUUCUUCGUGUGAUAUAUUACUCUAUUCAAUUGUGUGUGCCAGCAGCAGCGUGGGGAAUAAUUCCAUACACUUUGAAACAAGUAGUGAAAGUUUAGGUUUGCUCUUAUGAGAUUUGAUACUUUUAAUUUGUGUCAGGAAAAGAAAUUAAUAAAUUUUUGUUAGGAUAAAUCUUUUCAUACAUAGUAUGUAUAAACAUAAUAGGAUAUUUUAGUAAAUUAUCAUUAACUAAAAUGUGUUUUUACAUUUAUAGCCUUGACCGAGUUUUAUGAAAAGAAAUUAAUUAUCAAAUUUCAAAUAUCAAAAUAAAUUUCUUUUCUUAAUAAUUAAAUAUCAUUUCCCUAUACAGAUUAAAUUAAUUAUACUAUGUUUAACUAAUUAAUUACUGCCUAAUAUACAUUGAUUUAUUUUUGGAUAUACUAACUUGAUUUGCUUUAAAUAGUGAAAUAUAUUGUGCCCUAAAUAAUACUCCCUCCGUCCCAAUAAAAGUGGCCACUUUUUUUUGGGCACGGAGAUUAAGAAGGAGAUUGUUAUGUUUUAAUUGAGUGUGACCCACCAAAAUUAGUGAGUAAUUUUUAGAAAGUGGCCUACAAUUGUUGACCAAAUUAGUGAGUAAUUUUGACAUUUUUAGAAAGUGACCUACAAUUGUUGACCAAAUUAGUGAGUAAUUGUUGACUUAAUUAAAGUAAAGUUUUGCCAUUUUUAGAAAGUAGCCACUUUUAAUGGGACACCCAAAAAGGAAAUGUGGCCACUUUUAUUGGGACGGAGGGAGUAAUAAUAAUAAUAAUAAUAAUAAUAAUAAUAAUAAUAUGUCGGUAAACACUAAUACUAAAAUUAAACAUAUCCAUUGCUUAAAAGCCAAAGAAACCAAGCUUGCUUGCUUUCUCUUUCGCAAUCGUCUCAAAAUAUUGAUAGAUACUCCCAUGAAACAUUAAUUUUAUUCUAUAAAUAAUUUUAGAAUAUCAGAUUUUCUACCUAUUAACUGGAAGCAAUUAAUAUAUAUUGUUGGUUAAUGGAAUUGACUUCUAGGAAAGGAUUUAGGAGAGUGGUUGGCGGCUAGGGUAAUUUGGGAUUAAAACAAAAUUAUACUUUUCUAUUUAAAUUAUUAAGGUAAUUUGGGAUUUAGGAGAGUGGUUGGCGGCUAGUAUGUAUGAAUAGCACUACCGUUUUUGUUAUUCAUCUUUUUCCAUGGAUAAAUUUAUCAAUCAAAAUAAACCCAGCCUAAUUGAAAAAAACACAUUAUAAAGAGUUAAUGUAUAUAAAUUUCUAUGUAACCAAUUUAUAAAGAGACCAUGUUUCUAUAUUUUAAUACGUUUACCACAUUGUUAAAAUAUUAACUAAAUACUACAGUAUGUUCAACAAUUUUUUAUAUUAACAUCAAAUCAUUCACGAGCUGACUAUUCAAAGUCAAAGUGUUAAAAAAAGUGUCGGCAAGAAUUGAAAUAUAUAAAAAGAAAAAGGAAAACCAUAUCUAGAAUGAAAGGCUGUAUACUCUUCAGUUUGAUCACUCAUCCAAUUCUAUUCCUUAUCUCUCUCUCUCUCUCUCACUCAAAUUCUCUCUUUCUCUCUUUGAGUUAUCAGCUAGCACAAAGCAUGGAAGCAGCAGCUGCUACCGCCGUCCUUAAAGUUCUAAUUGAAAAACUGAUCAACCUCCCCAUGAAAGAGUUCUCUCAAAUCCGAGGUUUCCGCAAAAAUGCAGAAAAGCUAGCUGGAAGUCUCGACAUGAUCAAAAAUUUCUUGAACGAUGCUGAGAUGCGUGCCAUCACCACCGAUGCUGCUGUCAAGAGCUGGUUGAAGAAGCUUGAAGACGUGGCGUUCGAUGCUGACAAUGUUUUGGAUGAAAUCAACUAUCAUAUUCUCUCCAAACAAAUUAAGGCCACUAAACCCAUGAAGGCGAAGAUAUUAUCAGGCUUCUCAUCAUCCGUCAAUUCUAUUGCGCGUCCGAGAAAUAUGGCUGUUAGAAUCAAGAAAAUCAAUGAGAAUUUGGAGUCCAUUAAGAAAGAGGCCACCGACCUUGGCCUCGUAGUGAGGCUUGCCAUUGCCAAUGAGCCCACUUUGGUUGAUGCUUCUUUGGAAACUGAUUCGUACACUCUUGAUCCAAUUUUUAUUGGAAGAGAUGAUGUUGUGUCGGAAAUAGUUGAGAUGCUUACCAAUAGCAUCACAACUGAUGAACGCGCAGUUUCCAUCAUUUCCAUUGUCGGGAUGGGGGAUUGGGGAAGACGACAUUGACUAGGAAAGUUUUNNNNNNNNNNNNNNNNNNNNNNNNNNNNNNNNNNNNNNNNNNNNNNNNNNNNNNNNNNNNNNNNNNNNNNNNNNNNNNNNNNNNNNNNNNNNNAAUAUGAAGGUGGCUUCAAUUGUGAAUUCAGUUCAUAUACAUGAGUUGAAAGGCUUAUCGGAGGAAGAGUGUUGGUCGAUAAUAAGAGCAAAAGCCUUCGGAAAAAAAGAUGUUCCAUCAGAAUUUGAGGCCACUGGGAGAAAGAUAGCAAGAAGGUGUCAAGGUUUGCCAUUAGCUGCCAACAUAGUUGGGGGAGUGCUACGCAAUAAAUCUGAGGAGAAAUGGCGUUCAGUCGAGGAGAAAUGGCUUUCAGCCGAUGAAGGAGGAGAUAAUAUCACAAAUAUGUUGAGACUGAGCUUCGAUAAUUUGUCUCUGCCAUCACUUAAAAAGUGCUUUGCGUACUGUGCGAUGUUUCCUAAAGGCUCCAAAAUCAUGAAACAGGAACUGAUUGAGUUUUGGAUGGCAGAAGGUUUUCUUCAAGCUGAUGGAAGGGAUGACAUGGAGACCGUGGGCGAGAAAUUUAUCAACGUUCUUCUGCACAACUCUUUACUGCAAGUUUCAAAGAGAGAUGAUGACGGAAAUGUAAAAGAGUGUGGCAUGCAUGAUCUUGUGCACGAUCUCGCUUGUUCUGUUUCAAGCUCCUCUAACAGUACAGGUGGUAGCAGCCGAGUUCGAUACAUGAUUCUCAGAGCCCACAAUCGUGGAGACGAAUCAAGUCGUAUCCCAAAAGAAAUGGCAAAGUCUUUACGUACAUUACUAAUAACAUCGGAAUGUGAUAUUUCUGAUAUCAACUUCUUAGACUUGGAAAGUCUGCAUGUUUUACGUCUUCAAAGUUAUAGAGUGCCAAGUUCGAUUCGGAAGUUGAUACAUUUGAGAGAUUUUGACAUUAGUUCAAAGACGAAAAUUGAAGUUUUGCCGGAUUGGAUUGGUGAAUUCUUUCACUUGCAGACGUUGAGAGUAGACUCAAAAUAUUUGAGAAAACUGCCAAGUACGAUUAAGUACUUGAUUAACUUGAGGCAUCUUUAUAUUAAGGAGUGGGUAGAGUUGCCGAUGGAAAUUGGGAGAUUAACUUCUCUCCAAACGCUGAAGUACUUUUCAGUGGCCGACGAGAAUGGCUGCAAAAUUGAAGAGCUCGGAAGUUUGAAUAAUCUUAAAGGAAAGUUACAAAUUCGGAAUCUGGAAAGGGUUAAUGACAAGGAAGAGUCUGGGAAAGCCAAUUUAUUCAAAAAGUCAAAAAUAUUGAAGUUGCGUUUGGAAUGGGAUAGAUAUGUCAGAAGAGAAGGUGGAACAUAUGAUGAGGAUGUAUUGGAAGGCCUUCAACCUCACUCCGAUCUGAGGGAGUUAACUAUCCAGCUAUACAAAGGCAAAAGAUUUCCAUUAUGGACUCAGAAGAUGUCAGUUCAAUAUGCGCCUCAAGGCUCUUGGGUGCUACUUACAAUUAAUGUCGUUAUCACUCAUUCUGCAGAAUGUGAAGAAUCCCAAUGUUGGGACACUUACCAAAGCUCAAGUCCCUUAGGUUGAAGGAUUGAGAAAUUUGAAGUGUAUAAAUUCAUCAUUCUACGGAAUGGUGAACAAGGACACACGCAUUGUUUUUCCAGCACUCGAGACCUUCGAAUUGUAUCGCAUGCCUAAGCUGGCAGAGUGGGCAGAAAUAGAAAUUUCGGAUGGAAGUGAAGUGAAGCUAUUUCCUCGCCUCCAACAUUUGAAAAUUGAGUAUUGCUACCAAUUGAUGAGUGUUCCAAGUCAUGUCUCGUCAUGCCUUCAACAAUUGGAGAUUUAUAAGAUCGGUGUGGAAUGUCUGCCAGCUGAUUGGAUAUUCAGUAAUAGCGAGACUCUCUCGAAGUUGUAUAUAGAGGACUGCCCGGAUUUGAGAGAAAUAUCAGAUAGGUGGGGAGAAGAAGAAUCAGAAGGAAGAAGCUUCACAAUCACAUCCCUCCCUAAAUUCCCUCUUAACACAUUUGCAAAUCGAAGGCGUUCCUAACUUAAGUUUGGAGACUGUGGAUGCAAUGCGGCGCCUCCAAAUUCAUGGAAACAAACACAUUGACCCGUGACGGUGAGUAUCAAUAUCUUUUCUAGAAACAGUUGCAUGUGUAUUUUAUUUGAAGAAAAUUCUAAAUUGAGAUUCAACGUACCACACUUGAUGCCCCACUUUCAGUUUUAUUUAUAUUUUUCUCUAAUUUCAACUUUGAAUGCUUUAGUUUAAUUUUGUGAUUAUUAAUUAGGGUUCAUUCCAUCUAAUUAGGGUAUGUAAUUAUUUUUUAUCAUUUAAUUUCACUUUUAUUAGUUAAUAAUAGGUUGAAAAAUUCAAAAUCAUGGUAUAUAAUUUUAUAAAAAAUUAAUUUUUUAAAUAAAUAUUAAGAAUAAUUCAUAGUAUUAUAAUUUUAUUUUUAUAAAAAAUAUUACUCCCUUCGCCCUCAUAUUUAUGCAUAUCUUUUCUUUUUGAAAUGUCCCCCAAAUUUAUGCAUACUAUAUUUUUGGACACUACCCCACACAUAAUUCCUACAAUUUAAUCCUUCUAACUUAUACUCCCUCUGUCCCAGCUGAAAUGUCCUGCUUUCCUUUUUGGGUUGUCCCACUUGAAAUGUCAUGUUUCCUUUUUUGGCAAUACACUCUCUCUCUAUACUUAAUAUUUAAAUAAUUUCCACCAACCCACAUUAUCUACUUUAUACACAUUUCUUAAUCUCCGUGCCGAAAAGAAACAAGACAUUUCAGCUGGGACGGAGGGAGUACUAUUUACCCGUAAUCUACUUAACAAUCCCCUCAAUGUGUGAUUUAUUCUCUACUAUCAAUAUUUCAAACAACUUUUUAUUAAAACUCGUGUCGUGGUCAAUCAUGCAUAUUUAGGGACAUAGACUAUUAAAAUAAUAGAUAUAAGAAUAAAAUAUAGUGACAUACAUAAAAUUGUGGAACAAUGAAUCUAAUCCCUUAGUUUGGUGCUCCACUUCAUCUCAAUAUGCUUAAACAAUAGGAGAUUAAUUAUUUUGAGUUUUUUUACUAUAUUUUUACAGAGACUCAUCAUCUUAGCUUUCUUUUCCAUUAAUUCUUUUUUGCGUUGAUACAGUUAUUCUGAGGAAAGUGAAGAGUCUAGUGAAGAAGGAAUAAGUGAGUAUCCCAUUUUCUCCAUGAUGACUUAAGUUGCUCAACCUCUUUUCAUAAUUUUUUUGUAAUUCCAUAUAUAUUCUUUCUUUAAACUUUAGUUGAUAGGAUUAUUAUGUCGAUGGUUGAAGACGAUGCAUGUUUGGAUACCUAAUUUGUUUCACAAUUCAUAUGAUUCUCGAAGACUACAAACUUUAUUGAAACGAUGAAAUUCGAAAGAGUCUUUUUCUGGGAAAGAGCUAAUAUGAAAUUUAGUUUAAUCCCUUGGAUCUUGGCUAAAGUGAAUCCUGUAUAGUUGAUUUGUUGUCUCAUGAUUUCAGGUGGAUUUGGAGGGGCAUUUUUUGUAACUGUCAAGCUCUUAUUGAGCCAUUUUGAGCUUUGUUAUAGAUUUUCUAAUAGAAUCAAAUAAAUUUCAAAAUGACAUGAGGAUAUAUGAGAUCCAUUAAUAUAAUUUGUGUAGGACUAAAUGUCUAUCUCUCAAGCAUGUGUCUAUUGUUCUGUUUAUGGUUUGUUUUUAUGAUUUUUUCUUCAAAAGCUAUUAAUUUGAUAUCAUUAUAUCCACACUCCAGAGUCCACCUUAUUGCAGGUUGUUUAUUGUUAGUUACGUCCCAUCAAACUUGAACUAUCUGUUAUUGUUUUAACCUCCAUGGCAGUAAUAGGGGAGCUUUUGAAGAGCUUGGAGGCGAGGCAGCCUCAACUAGAGGCGCCAACGAGCUUGCUCGUGGGGACGAACGACGACAGUGUAGUUGUUGACUGUGAAGAGAAGGAUGAUGACAAAAAUUCAGACAACAAUGUUGAAGAUGAAGAUAGUGAAACAGAGGAUUCAGCACUGUGGAAGUUGAACUCAAUCCAAAAACAAGGGAAAAGGAAUGUAUGAGAAGAAAAACUCAAAUUUCUGAAUGUCAAUACUCAGUUCGACUCGAUUUGAUCACGCCGUUUAAUUAAAAUUCGAGCAUGAUUCUAUAAUGAAUGAAUUAAAUUUGAGCAUGUCAAUACUCAGCUCGGCUCGGCUCGACUUUAUUACACCCUUGACACGAUUCAUUUUGUGUUAGCUAAAAUAUCCACACAACAAGGGAUUAAAAAAAAAGCUUUUGCAAAAAGAAUUCAUUCCCAAAUUAUUUCUCAUCUUCUAUAUUAGUACGAAGCAAUUACAUCAUUAUUCCAACCAACAACAGAGAGCUCAUAUCAUAUAGGAAACUACACAUUCUUUCAACAAUAUGUUAUAGCUAUAUCCAAUUUCUCUAUCAAUAUGUAUAGCAUGGUAUCAAUAUAUUAUAGCUAUAUCCAAUUUCAUAACAAUAUACACUUUUAUAAAAACAAUAGAUUUCGAAUCAAACUCUUUUCCAACGAAAAUUGAGCAGAAUCAAAUUUAUGUUUAAAUUGAGCAGUAUUGGCAUACAUUAGUGAAGCCAUUUGAAAAUGGCCAUAAAACACUAGUCAUCUUCUUCCAAUCAGCUAACCCAGAUCCAAAUCAGCGCUCGUCGCCGCGAAAUCUCACAGCCGUCGGUCGGUCGAGCAUUAGGUAUCCGACGAUGGCUUCACUUUCUCCUUGAGGAACUGCAGAAUGUGCUCUCGUUUCCAGUUAUCAACUCUGCAUUUUACACAGACAAAGUUCCACGUCAAGCAAAUGAACUUGCCGAAUUCAAGACCUCAAUCGAGGUUUG